RNAcentral lists this unclassified non-coding RNA (608 nucleotides) under Macrophomina phaseolina. RNAcentral describes it as "sequence contains 18S rRNA gene, ITS1, 5.8S rRNA gene, ITS2, 28S rRNA gene". Lineage: Eukaryota; Fungi; Ascomycota; Dothideomycetes; Botryosphaeriales; Botryosphaeriaceae. The record is from RNAcentral.
GGUGGAACGUCGCGGGUAUCGCUACCUGAUCCGAGGUCAACCUUGAGAAAAGUUCAGAAGGUUCGUCCGGCGGGCGACGCCUUACGCUCCGAAGCGAGGUGUAUUCUACUACGCUUGACGCAAGACGCCACCGCCGAGGUCUUUGAUGCGCGCCCCCGAGGACGGUGCCCAAUACCAAGUAGAGCUUGAGGGUUGAAAUGACGCUCGAACAAUGUUGCCCCCCGGAAUACCAAGGGGCGCAAUGAGCGUUCAAAGAUUCGAUGAUUUUUUGAUUUCUGCUAUUCACAUUACUUAUCUGAUUUCGAUGCUUUCUUCAUCGAUGCCAGAACCAAAAGAUCCGUUGUUGAAAGUUUUAAUUUAUUUAAUAUUUUUUUCAGACUGCAACGUUUACUGACUGGAGUUUGAUAGUCCUCUGGCGGGUACUAGCCACCCACCAAAAUCGGGGGGGCGCCCCCCGUUUCGAAGGGUGAAGGGACCCCCUCCCGAAGAAACUUUCGAAGUUUUUCUAAAGGUUGAGUUCGGAUCAAGUAGGGAUACCCGUUGAUGUGAGGUGAGUUAAGGAACUGGAGGAAACAAAAACCAGCCAAAUUUAGAAGGGAAAAAAAACU